GAAAAAAAAAGUCAAAAAUGGAAAGUUCAAGAUUCUGCUUUUUCUUACCGGUUUUCUGUGUCAGCCUCCUCAUCCCGGCGAGAACACAAACUCUUCCACACAACCAUGUAGCCUUGUUCAUCUUUGGGGAUUCAUUAUUUGAUGUCGGCAACAAUAACUACCUCAAAAACGCUAUUGGCCUGGCGAAUUUCUGGCCUUAUGGGGAAACAUUCUUUAAGCAUCCUACUGGCAGGUUUUCCGAUGGCAGACUCAUUUCUGAUUUUAUUGGUAACAAUCUCUUUUUCCCUUAUGGGUAAUGAAUUUUUUUCGGAAACUUGAUUGAUUCUUUGCAACUUUUUCUUUGUAGCUGAGUAUUUGAAGUUGCCAUUAAUUCCACCAUAUCUCCAGCCUGGUAUUCAAUUUACAGAUGGGGUGAACUUUGCUUCAGGAGGGGCUGGCGCUUUAGUUGAAACCCAUCAAGGCAGUGAAGGAAGGGUAUACGAUUUAAUUUUCUCCUUGAUUAGGCGAGUCAUUUUGCCUAAUUUUGUUCAAUGAUAAUCUUGUUAAUAUAAUUCUAUCAGUACACAGUUGAGUCUUGCCAAAUGGGUUCAUCUUUGUGGAUGUGGUGAUCGUUGUCUUUAAUUCUCUUUUCACCUUAUGUGCUGCAAUUUUGUUAUUUACCUUUUCCACCUUUCCUCCAUAGGUGAUAGACCUUAAAACUCAGGUUCUUUAUUUGAAGAAUGUGAAGAAACAUAUAAAGCAGCAGCUAGGUGAUGCAGAAACUAGGACAUUAUUGUCCAAAGCCAUUUACUUGAUUAGCAUUGGAGGCAAUGAUUACAUAGCACCUUCCAGUGAGUUUGAGUCCUUCCCUAAAGAAGAAUUUGUAGGGAUGGUCAUUGGCAACCUGACAUCUGUGAUCAAAGACAUUUAUAAGGUUGGAGGAAGGAAAUUUGCAUUUGUAAGCAUGGGGGCUUUUGAUUGUUCACCAAACAUGAGAGCACUUAAACAGGACAAAGGAGGCUGCGAUGAAGAAGUCACAGCUCUAGCAAAACUACACAAUAAAGUACUUCCUGAUGUGCUUAAAGAGCUACAGGGUCAGCUGAAGGAGUUUAAGUACAUAAAUUUUGAUUUCUACACUACAUUAAAAGAAAGAAUUAAUAACCCUUCAAAAUAUGGUUUCAAGGAGGCAAAUGUAGCAUGCUGUGGAGCUGGUCCAUUCAGAGGAACUCUG
This 1210-nucleotide unclassified non-coding RNA is filed under the name Hevea brasiliensis (rubber tree). Lineage: Eukaryota; Viridiplantae; Streptophyta; Magnoliopsida; Malpighiales; Euphorbiaceae. The record is from RNAcentral.